GCAUUGUUAGCUUAAUUGGUAAAGCCCUUCAAUGUCACUGAAGGAAAUGUCAGUUCGAGUCUGAUACAGUGCG
RNAcentral lists this transfer RNA (73 nucleotides) under Insectozyma verbasci. RNAcentral describes it as "Candida verbasci tRNA". It matches the Rfam family "tRNA". Rfam says of the family: Transfer RNA (tRNA) molecules are approximately 80 nucleotides in length. The record is from Rfam by way of RNAcentral. Lineage: Eukaryota; Fungi; Ascomycota; Pichiomycetes; Serinales; Debaryomycetaceae.